UCACUACUUGCGUAGGCAGUCUUCUUAGAGUGCUCAGCAUUACCUGAUGGCAACUAAGAACGAGGGUUGCGCUCGUUGCGGGACUUAACCCAACACCUCACGGCACGAGCUGACGACAGCCAUGCAGCACCUGUACAAGUUCGCCUUGCGGCACUCCGACUUUCAUCAGGAUUAACUUGCGUUUCAAGCCUAGGUAAGGUUCUUCGCGUUGCGUCGAAUUAAACCACAUGCUCCACUGCUUGUGCGGGCCCCCGUCAAUUCCUUUGAGUUUCAACCUUGCGAUUGUACUUCCCAGGUGGAAUACUUAAUGCGUUAGCUUGGAUACUGAUCUUAAAAAAGACCAACAUCUAGUAUUCAUCGUUUAGGGUGUGGACUAC
RNAcentral lists this unclassified non-coding RNA (377 nucleotides) under uncultured Ignavibacteria bacterium. Its description in RNAcentral is "contains 16S-23S intergenic spacer region". Lineage: Bacteria; Pseudomonadati; Ignavibacteriota; Ignavibacteria. The record is from RNAcentral.